UACGGGGGGGGCAAGCGUUGUUCGGAAUUACUGGGCGUAAAGGGCUCGUAGGCGGCCAACUAAGUCAGACGUGAAAUCCCUCGGCUUAACCGGGGAACUGCAUCUGAUACUGGAUGGCUUGGAUUUGGGAGAGGGAUGCGGAAUUCCAGGUGUAGCGGUGAAAUGCGUAGAUAUCUGGAGGAACACCGGUGGCGAAGGCGGCAUCCUGGACCAAUAUUGACGCUGAGGAGCGAAAGCUAGGGGAGCAAACGGG
Molecule: ribosomal RNA, 253 nt
Filed under: uncultured bacterium
Lineage: Bacteria
Description: partial 16S ribosomal RNA
Rfam family: Bacterial small subunit ribosomal RNA
Source: RNAcentral